RNAcentral lists this long non-coding RNA (2550 nucleotides) under Heterocephalus glaber (naked mole-rat). Its description in RNAcentral is "lncRNA (ENSHGLG00000049740.1)". The record is from RNAcentral. Lineage: Eukaryota; Metazoa; Chordata; Mammalia; Rodentia; Bathyergidae.
GCAGUAACCAAAGGGUGAGGAUUUCCUUCUGGGGUGAUGCAAACAUUCUAAAGCUGAUGGUAACAUCGAUGGUGCCCAGCUCUAUGAAGACAGCAGAAGCCACUGGUAACGUGGGCUCCAAAGGUCCAGUGAUCUACUCAGAAUUUUAUCCUGAGCAGUGUGGACAGAGCAGUCAUUCAGAGCAGUUAAAUCUGAAGCGCUGCAGAGGCCAGCACCCACCAAAGACCGGCAGCAGAGACAGCACCCAGUGUCCGGCAGAAGUCAGCCUGGGGAUGACGCUCGGCAGUGACAGAGACCGGCAGCCCGCUGUGUCACUGGCUGGCACCCAGCACUAUCCAGUGUGACUUGCGGACGAUAGGAGCUGCACUUGGCCAGUUCAUGACUCUGUCUGCGUGGAGCAGAGAAGCCUGGGCUGAGGGCCACAUCGUGUGUAGCUUGUGUCCCAGGCAGAAGCAGCGGCGGCACUGACCACUCCCCACAUGGGCGUCCUGCGCUGUCUCUCGGGGUGCCUGUCCCGAUACACUGUCACUUUGACAGCUGCUCCCAUGUCCCGCCACUUCACCAGUGAGGGCAGAACCAGGUAUUUCAAACAGUGUAACUGACACACACAAGGUGCAGGUCCUGAGGCGAAGUGGAACACCAUGCACACCCCGAUUCCAACAGGGCAGAGCUGCCUCCGCCUCUCUGCUCCUCCACCCAGACUACCGCAUUUCUUCAUGGCGAUUGCUUUGCAUUGUAGAGUUCUGUAUUAAGUAGGAUCCCACAGCGCCUACCCUCUCAUCUGGGUUUGCCAUUUAGCACAGGUGUUUUGAGGUUUGUGCAUGUUGCCUCUCUCAGUGACUCAGGUUUUACUGCUGAGAGGUGCAUCAUUGGACUGACACACCAGUUUGUUCAUCUACUCAUUUAUUGGCCAGUGUUUGGUUGUUUACAGUGUGGGGCUGUUACAGAUCCAGUAGCCGUGGACAUUUGUGUUCAAGUCUCGUGUGGGUAUCUAUCUUCUUUUCUCUUGGGAAGUGCCCAUGAGUGGCCUGACUGCACCAUUUGCUGGUGAAGCUUGGUGGUGAGCAUUUCCCCACCACCUGCGAAGUCCUGGGUCCCAUCCCUAGCACUGCAGAAAAGCACCGGAGAGGUCAUCAGACUGUUCGACACCUGGCAGCGUCCGAGAGCACAGGACCCGAACUCACUCGCCCGGCUGUCCCAUGAAGAGGACCGUAACACUGAUCACGCCAAGGCAGGCUGUGCAGUUAGCCCCACAACUGGCUUGUUUAUAGAACUGAGUCUGGCUGAAGCCUACGUGCCGAGGUCAGGGUAACUCGCACCCGAAUUCCAUUCCCACAACCAAAGCCUUCUGACUAGGACAGUGUACUAAUUACAACCAUAUAUUUUGUCUAUUCUGCGCCUAAUUUGAGACUGCUUUGUCUUGUCCUUUAAGAGCCUUGUUUACAUUAAUUUCCAUAGAAACCACACAUCGCCUUCACCCCAGUUGAUUGCCAAUAAAAGUCAGUGCUGGGCCUGGCCAGGCCUUUGUCGGUUGCACCGGCAUUGGUGGUCCUGGAAGCCCGCUUUCUCUCUCUCAGUUCUGUCUCUCAGUGCAUUCUUUUUCUCAGGCUUGCGCCACACACUGGCCAGGCGGGUACUGGAACCUGACUGCAGGGGUCUCUGGCUGUCUCAGUCUCUGAGAGCAGGCAGCGCUGGGCUGGAUUGGCUGGCGAUGCCCGAGCCUGGGUCUGAGAAGAGGCCGCUGCUCCUUCCCAGGGUCUUCCCUGCGGCUUCAGGGGCAACUUCUGCUAUGUAAACAGAUGAGCCAGUAGCAACACAACUCAUGCUCUUUCCUCUGUAAUCAGACAGGAGACAACGCCGAGCAAGCAGGAAGCGCCUCUCGUCAGUGCAUCAGGACGCCUCUGCUGGCAAAGUUCUGAAACACAUAAAAGGACAAUAAAACCGAGCAACUGCAUUGCUGUACCUAAUAACAUAGAGGCAACCUAGCUUAUUUUGCAAAAAACCCCAAUGCUUCUGGUUGUGGUCUUUCCCGGAAAGAAACUGCAGUAUUAUAAGACAGAUUUUUUUCCUUUGUCUCCUGUUUUUAGAUGCAACAGCAAUUCACUGAAGUCUAUCAGUAAAUGGGGCAGAGCUUCGAUCUCAGAAACAAAAGGGAAAGCAGAUUAAUGUUUUAUAUAAAAAGGAAAUAAAGUAUGGGAAGCAAUACCAGAAUGAAAUUUUUUUCCCUGUAAAACCAAACCAGUUAUGUGCUUUGCCCAUUGAUGGUUGCACAGAACCCUCUAACACUCAGUGCCAUAGAGUAACUGCUGUGUUUUAUGCCCACUGUUGUGGGCCAGGAAUCUGGGGACAUGUGAGUGGCCUAGUGGCCUCUGACCCCCUGUGCCAGCCGGGGACCAGGCCAGGACCCCCUGUCUCUGAGGCACUUCCAGGAGAUUCGAGGUCCUUCCUCUGGAGCAGAGCCUUGAGGCAGCUCAGGGCCGGCUGCACCUGCACAGCAUCACAGCCACCGAUUCCAAGCUGGGAAACAGGUUCCAGGCCAGAAGGGGCACA